This 453-nucleotide ribosomal RNA is filed under the name uncultured bacterium. RNAcentral describes it as "bacterial SSU rRNA". It matches the Rfam family "Bacterial small subunit ribosomal RNA", at positions 36 to 507 of the family's 1533-position model. The record is from RNAcentral.
CUGGCGGCGUGCCUAACACAUGCAAGUCGAACGGGGUAAGGAGAGCUUGCUUUCCUACUUAGUGGCGAACGGGUGAGUAACGCGUGAGAAACCUGCCUUUCAGUGGGGGACAACAGUUGGAAACGACUGCUAAUACCGCAUAAUGUUAUUGGGGCAUCCCCGAAUAACCAAAGAUUUAUUGCUGAAAGAUGGUCUCGCGUCUGAUUAGCUAGUUGGUGAGGUAACGGCUCACCAAGGCGACGAUCAGUAGCCGGCCUGAGAGGGUGAACGGCCACAUUGGGACUGAGACACGGCCCAAACUCCUACGGGAGGCAGCAGUGGGGAAUAUUGCACAAUGGGGGAAACCCUGAUGCAGCGACGCCGCGUGAGUAAAGAAGUAUUUCGGUAUGUAAAGCUCUAUCAGCAGGGAAGAAAAUGACGGUACCUGACUAAGAAGCUCCGGCUAAAUACGUG